This 41186-nucleotide long non-coding RNA is filed under the name Trifolium pratense (red clover). Its description in RNAcentral is "long non-coding RNA (TPRA_LNC000345)". Lineage: Eukaryota; Viridiplantae; Streptophyta; Magnoliopsida; Fabales; Fabaceae. The record is from RNAcentral.
CGCGGUGCUUGGCGAUGGAGGUGAUGAAGUUAAAGAGGGUUUUUAUCUGACAUUAGAAGUAGUGAUUUAGAGGUGAGGUAGAAAGGAAAUUUGGAUGAAAUCCUCUUCUAAUGAUAUUUCCAAUAUUCCAAUUGAUUCAGCGUAGGGUUUUGUACUCUUUCUUACGGUUACAAUGUACAAGAAGAAUGUUUCACCAAAUUGUAUUCUUUGAUAGGAUAUAUGAUAUAUGGCUCUCUUAUUCAAAAGCAAGUUUUGCAAAUUAAUUGACUCACUUUUUUUGAAUCAAUUGUAGACACAUGUAUGUGACCUGUGUUUUUUUUUUAUAAGCAUAUGUAUGUGAUCUGUGUUAUCAAAAAAGACAUAUUAGUGAGUAUAAGAUGUGAUUUAAACUCACCCAUUUACAUAAUUUAGUUUGAUUUAGCAUAUUAUAAAAAAUACUAUUGGUCUCUAUGAGUGUGAUCAAACAAACCUGCUAAAUACAUAAGGUCACAAAAUCAAUUGCUUUUAAUAGCUUCUAACAUCGGAUUUGUAGGAAAGAUAAACGAACCUAUAAAAUUAUUUUGUGCAGUUUAUAUAAAUUAGAGGCAUAUUAAAACAAACAUUAUUGGUCACUAUGAGCAUGAUAUCUUUUAUUAGUAUUUGGGUCUUUGAAGGCUCUACUAUGAAAUUCGAUUCGAUGUCACUGAGCCAUUGCUAUUUGUCUUUUAGAACCAUAUUAAUUGCGCAAAAAAAUGGUAAAAAUUAAAUUUUAUACACGUUACGCGUCUUUGAAGACUCUACUAUAAAAUUCGAUGUGACUGAACCAUCCAACAAUAGGGUGGUUCACUUUUGUAUUAUACUUAUUAUGAUUUGGCUUUUAAGUUUGUUUGCUCUUUUGGAACAUUGAUGUUUGUCCUUUAGACCCAUAUUAAUUGCACACAAAAAAAAGAGUAAAAAUUAAAUUUUAUACAUUUGACGGGUCUUUGAAGGCUCUACUAUAAAAUUCGAUAUGACUAAGUCAUCCACUUAAUUAUGUUUAAUUUACCAUGAUCAAAAACAUCCAUGAUUGACAACAUUCAUGAUUGACAUAUAAAUGGUGUUCCGCCGAACCCGUGCAGCGCACGGGCGGCCUGGUGUUCCUUGAUCAAGGAGCAUAUGAGCUACAAGGAUCAAGGAGCCAUGGUUAAGGGAUCCCUCCGAGUAUCGAUAUAGAUUCGUAAUUUUUGUAUCCUUUUUUUUUUGUGAUAAUUUUUGUAUCCUUCUAAUAGUNNNNNNNNNNNNNNNNNNNNNNNNNNNNNNUAGAGUUUCUUAAUUUUUGCGUUUUAGGCCAUCUUCUAACAGAGAGUUUCUUAAUCUCUGUGUCAUAUAAGUUUCAUGAUACUUCGAUAUUUGAGCAUUCACAUAGAUUCGUAAUUUUUAUGCGUUCCUGAUACAAAAGUUUGUAAUUUCUGCAUGCUGCUUAUCUAAAUUUUUAGUUUUCGCGCCAUAAUUAUCAACAAUGGUUCGUACUUUUUUUGUGCUAACCUAUCAUAAUUUGUACACUUUAUUACACUACAUGAUAUAUCCAUAUUGCACCAUAUCCUUUACAUCCAUGAUUGAUAUAUAAAUGAUGCUCCCCCGAAGUAAUUUAUGUAUGCUUAUGACUAGCUUCCUCGGCUCAUAGCAUCCAUGAUUGAUAUAUAAAUGAUACCCCCUAAGAAAUUUCCAUAUGUUUAUGACUAGCUUCCUUGGCUCAUAACAACCAUGAUUGGUAUAUAAAUCAUACUCCGCCGGAUAUGGGGCAUAUUGUAGCAACUAUUUUAGGUAAAGUUGUCGUGAAAUUGACGAAACAGGGAGCAUCCGAGACAUUCUUUCCAUUGUGUGGCAUACCACCAUCUAAUCCUUCUUCGUUAAUUGUUUGUAUUGGGGCUAUCCCCGAUCAUUAUGUCUAUGUCAAGUUGAAAGAUGAUUGUCCCAUACCUCCAACAUGUAUUCAGUGGAAGAGGUAUUGUUCUCCGGAUGCUAUUGGUUGGGAGUCUUUUUUUGUUGCUCGACACGCCAAGUUUGAUAAACUCAUGAAGGAAAUAAUAGUUGAUAAUAAGAAGAAGAUUCGAGUUGGUUCUAACUCGGAUGAUCCAAUUGAACUUUGAUUUGAAUGUUAGUUAAAUUAUGUAAUUCCCGUGUGUUUAUGAAUAUCCAAUUGAACUUUGAUUUGAAUGGUAGUUAAAUUACGCAAUUCCCAUAUGUUUAUGAAUAAUUUUCUUUACCGAUAAUAUCCAUGAUUGGUAUGUGUAAUGAUACUCUCUCUGAUGAUUUUCGUGUGCUUAUGAUUAAUUUCACUAUGAGGUUGCAUCCAUGAUUGAUAUACAAAUGAUAUUCCGCCAAACCCGUGCAACGCACGGGUAGCCAUCUAGUGAAUAUUGAAGGAAAAAAAAAAAAGCAAAAAAAUACUGUAAAAAGAAUCAGUAAUUUUGCAUUGUCCAGCAAAAUUGCAAUCCUUAUGCAGUUAUGCCUAACUUUAUCUAAUGAAACUUUAUCUGUUUUAAAAUAAAACACCGACCUUGCUAGUUGCUAGGCCAAUUUCUGAGUGUUGAAAAUUGUAAAGGAAUUUAUGUUGUAGCAGUCUGUCUCGUAAGUAGAAGGACUACUCAUGGGAUAUUGUGCGCAGUUAAUACAUGAAAUGGGGUGAAUUUAUAAUUAUAAUAAGUUAUAUUGUCAUAAUUAAUACUAACUAGUAUAACUUACCCGUGCAAUUACACGGAUUAAUGUUCAAUGAAAAAUAUAAAUUAUUAAAAUUUUAAUAUUUUGUGAUUUUUUAAUUAUCUAUAAUUUUUUUUAUUUAAUGUAAUUUAUUUAGAUAUGAAAAAUAAUAUAAAUUUUACAUAUUUUAAAGGGGAGGGUGUAUAUUAAUCUUCCACUUCUCGUUCUCAACUUACAUGUUAUUUUUUCUCUCAUAGACCUCUGCAUCAGUUUCUGUAAGGAUCUCAUCAACAUAUUAAAUAAAUUGAAUAAAUAAAUUUAUUCUUCGUCUUUAAAUAUGCUUUUUAGAUCCAAUAGAAAAAACAUAUAGGCCAUAGAGAUGAGAAAUGAUAAAAAACUAAAUAAGAGAAAAGAAUAUGUAAAAAAAAUAAUUCACAAAUUGGUUGAAAAACAAUCCUAGAUGAGGGUGAUGAGAAAAAAUAGAUGAAAGAAAGCUGAGAGCAAAAAUAUUUUUAGUCAAUUUUGGCAAUGUUUCUAAAAUUUUGUUUUAUCAUCAAAUCAUAUUCCUUGAGUGUAGCUAUCUUAUAUACCAAAGUUUGACAUAAUAUUUUUNNNNNNNNNNNNNNNNNNNNNNNNNNNNNNNNNNNNNNNNNNNNNNNNNNNNNNNNNNNNNNNNNNNNNNNNNNNNNNNNNNNNNNNNNNNNNNNNNNNNNNNNNNNNNNNNNNNNNNNNNNNNNNNNNNNNNNNNNNNNNNNNNNNNNNNNNNNNNNNNNNNNNNNNNNNNNNUAUACAAAUAACUAAUAUGAAUUCAAAAACUAAAAUAAUACGUAAGAAAACUACAUAGUGAGGUACAUAUAAAAUUUCAUAUAUAAAUAAUGAUGAACAUAACACUAUUGAAAAAAUACAUCAUUUGAUCAUUUUGUUGAUUCAUUCAUUAAGAGAAUACAUCAUUGAUAUUUCAAGUUGUAUCCAACUCAUAAUUAUUGAUAAAGCAAGAUAAGAAAAAAAAAGACUCCAAGUUUGAUCUCAAUUCAAUCCAUUUUGUCAGAAUGUGAUGCAUUGAUCUUAUUGUCUUUCAAUGAUUUCUGUGUCACAAAUAAUAAAUUGGAUUAAUAAAUAAAAAUAUAAAUAUAAAGACCAAAAGAAAAUAAUCUAAAUAGUAAAAAAAAAAAACAAUAUAAGAAAAAUCGAACAAAGAAAAAAUAGUAAAGAAAUUUUUAAAAACUGACAAUAGACAAAAAAAUUGUGAGUAUUGAGAGAGAUGAAAUCUAUAACAAUAUAUAAAGGGGAUAGGGGAGUUUGGGUUGACUUUUUCUUUGGUCUAUUUUGCCCUUCACUACAUAUGAGUAAUUUUGUNNNNNNNNNNNNNNNNNNNNNNNNNNNNNNNNNNNNNNNNNNNNAUUCCAUUUUUUUUAAGAUAAUAAAAUAUGAAGAAUUGGCUUGUUAAAAAAAAUGAAGAAUUAUAUUUUAAAAUAAAUUUCGAAUUUUAAUUUUUAUUAAUAAAUUGAAUGUGAAUAAUUUUUUUAUCAAAUUAAUGCUUAUAUUUUAAUAAAAAUAUAUUAGUUUUUUAGCAUAAUUCUUUUUAUCACAUAAUAAGAAUUUGUUUUCGUAUGUUAAAAAAAUUGGGGUCUUGUUUAAAAAAAAAAUUGGGGUCUUACCAUUUUAGAAUAUUAGUACUCUAAGUUGUUUGAUUGCCUCCUAAUCUCCUAAUAAUAAUGUAUUGAAUUCUUACCAAAAUAAAUAAUGUUUUGAAUUGUUUCCAAAUAUAGAAUAUAAAUUGACUACUCAUUUAUUUUCAUAUUUUUUGUGCAUGUAUAUAAUAUAAAAAUAAUUUGUUGUAAAACUACUCAUUUAUAUUAAAGGUAAUUUAGACAAAUGCACUCAAAUAAUAAUACAGUUUUUUUUUAUUAAUCAAAUAAUAAUACACUUAAAAAAUAAGAAUUGAAAAUAUUGUUGAUAUUUUUCAAACGAAAAAAAAAACCUCAACAUAUAAUGUUGUUCAAAUUAAUUUAUAAGAAUAAGAAAUUUCUAUAUAUAGUUAUAAUUUUUAAAUUUGAUUUUUGUGAUUAAGCCCGAUUAAUAUAUCAAUAAUUGUCUUUCUGAUUUUGAUUUUUGUUAUUUAAAUCUGAUUAAUAUAGUAAUGGUUGCCUUUUUAAAUUAACCAAAGGUCAAAUAAAUAAAAUUAGAGAAAUGUUCUAAUAAGUCGCCACAUAGGAGAUUAGUAAAUAGUAGAGUGACACCUAAUCAAGUGAUCAAAUAGAAUGACACAUAAGAAAAGUACUAUGAGAGAGAAACUCUCAAACAUAUAAAUAAUAGAUGACAACCAUUAUAUUUAUGACAACUCAAAUGGGUCAAGUAACUCAAUCUUAUGAAAUGGGUAGCCAAGUUGUCACCCUUUUUCUAUACAUCUCUAAUUUAAGCAUUAUAUUGGUACGAGAUUUCCACCGUCGUAAGUGAUGACAUAUGGUUAGCAGUAAGGUACUCAUAUCGUUCAAUUUUACAUAUAAUUAUUUAUGAGAAAAAGGAAUAUGCAAUAAGUUUAUACUGUCAAUAUCAAUCUUGUUUUUCGCACAUCACUUCAUUUCACCCCACUUUCUUGAUAUGACAUGACAAAAUAAUAACUGUUUAUGAAUGAUCGUGUAAAACUAUUUUACAUUGUCGCCGUUGCAUAUCCAUUAAACUCAUUACUUACAAGUGUGCCCAUAUUUAUAAUAUGUGUGCUACCAUGACCCAUUAGUUUUGGUAGGCACAUGAUGAGCAUGAAUUGAAUUGUCCUCUCCUCCUUACAUAUAACUCAUUCCGGAGAAGGUAUGUAAGUUCAACAUUCUCCAUGACUAGGUUUAGGUGUUCAAAUUUUAUAAUAAUUUUGAUUUUGAUUUGAUUUGAUUUGAUUUUGAUUUUGAUGGGAUGGAAUUGGACGACUUUGUAAAGGAAAAGUCACUGUAACUUUCUCUAAAGGACUUGUACAAAGUUGACUUAUUUGUCGUAUUUACUAAACUACUAAAGAACUUGACAAGUACUACUUGACAAAUUCCUCAUUUUUCUUCCUAGAUUGUACAAAGGUGUUCGUCGUAUUUACUAAACUACUAAAGUACUUAACAAGUAUUACUUGACAAAUUCCUCAUUUUUCUUCAUAGAUUCUACAAAGUUGAUAUGAUCUCGUUUCCUAUAAACUCACUUGGUAGAAAUAUCACAUUAUAUACAUAGGAGUGAGAGUUUAAAUUUCUAACACUCCAAUUAUUUAUUUUAAAAGUAAAAUUCUAACCACUAAAUUAUUUAACUAAAAAGACAUUGAGUGUUUUGAUUAUAUAAUUGGGAAUGACCUUAGUUUCUUACGUUACAUAAUUAAUUAAUACAAUACAAUAGUCAAAAAGAUAUUGUUCAAACCUAAGUUAUGUUCAGCUUGUUUUCAUCUCAAUCCUUAUCCCAUGACCUACAUAUUAAUAUUAAAUAUAUGUCAUACAUAAAAGUGCUUCCGUACAUACCCGAAUAUAGGACAUAUACAUUAACAACGAAUUAACAAACACAACUCUAAAUUUCAUUAAUUCUUCCGUGCCAUUUCUUUGAUAUUCAACAUCAUGGGAAAUCAACCUAAGACUGCCAUAAUCGGCCCUCAAUAUUGUGCUCCAGGUAUGAACCUUAUGACAUUUUCUUAUAACUCUACACGUUUGAUAUUAUUAUGUAAUAGCUGAGCUGAUAGAGACAUCAUAAAUAAUAUGCAGAGACCGAGUACGAAUUUCUGGUACUACUACUCUUUUUUUUUUUNNNNNNNNNNNNNNNNNNNNNNNNNNNNNNNNNNNNGUACAAUUGGUACUCCUACUUAUUCACAUUAAAAAUGAAAUUAUAGCCUAUAUAUACACUUAAUAAAAAAAAAUCACCUCAUUUGAGCUAGGAAUCCUUUAAAUCUUAUUUGAUUAAAUGCAUCAAUAUUUAUAUCCUUUUAACAUUUAUUUUGGUUAAUUUGUUACAGCUACACAUCCCGUUGAUUUGAUAAUCACAAGGGAUAUAAGUUUGAGAGAUAAUUUCACUAUCAAAGAUAUCAACAAAAAUGUUGUUUUCAAAGUUAAAAGUCCUCUUGCAACCAUUCUAACACCUCGCCAACACAGAUUCUUAUAUGAUGCUAAUAGAAACCUCAUUCUCCAUCUUCAAGAAUCGGUUUGCUCAUAAAUAUUCAAGAUUCAUCACUAUUUUAUUUAUUUGUUUAUGUUGUGAAUUUAUAUUACCUUUUCUCCUAUUUUCCCCUUAUUGAUAAUCUGUAUCAAGUAUUAUAACAUCUAAAAUUUUCAUAUAUACAAAAAAACUCUAAGUUUCUCGUAUGAAUAAGAGUAAAAUCUUCAUUUUUUUUAAGACUCGGUAUUUGAUCCAAGAUCGAUAUAAAACUUGCAUUAAUUUGUGUUAUCUUCGCUUAGUUAGAUGAUUUUUGUUAACCUCUAUUAGAAACAAUUGGCAUUUUGGAGCUGCUUGCACUUCUUGUGUUUGUGUUAGCACUUCUUGUGUUAACUUCUCUUCCCUUAGGGACUAAAAACACAUGAAUAAUGAGUUAUCAUCCUUUUCAUUUUUUGUUUUCUCCAUUUUUGACAUUAUUGAAGUUUUGUAAAUAUAAAUGCAAUAAUGUGACAUAUGGCGUACCAAAUAAUUUAAUAUAUAUUAUAAAACUCUUCAAAACAAUAAUAAUGGAGAAGAAUAUUGAAGAGUAAAAAUGAAUAGAAUCCUAACUCCUCUUUAACACACACAUUUUAACACGCCAUCUUUUAUUGGUUAAAAUUCAUAUGAGUCUCAUAAAAAAAAUGUAGGCUCCAUAUAAAUUUUAUGCGACCCAUAUAUAAAUGUUAACCAAUCAACGAGAAUGUGUUGGAAUAUGUGUCUUAAAGAGUGUGUUGCUAGUACUCAUCAAAACAUAUUUAACUCUAAUUUAUAUUUUUACAUUUUAUUAAUUACCUAUGAGUAAUACAUGUUUUGGAGUAACAUCUUCAUGUUAACAACAAUAAUGCAUCAAGAAAAAAAACCAAAAAAAAAAAACAAUAAUGCAUCAAGAAGAGAAUAAGAAGAGAACAAUGGAAAUAGGUACACUGGGGUCCAAUACUAUUAAAGUUGUAUUAGCGACUCAUUGUUAAGGUUCUCACACUAUUGAUUUAACAUGUCAUCAAGGAUGACGCAAUGUGAGAAUUUGUUGGGUUCAAUUAAGUGGUUUGUCGCAGAUUAAUUAUGAAUAAGCUAAAUGUUGUGGAAAAAUAGUAUCUUUCAUAAUAUGUAUACAUGAAAAAGUCGCAUGUGUUAAGGUUUUAUGUAAAAAUGUGACAUCUUCCUCAUUGUAAUUUUUAAUAUUGGUUUGUUGUUGUUCACUGAUUCACCACUGAACUUCUUCACAAGUGGUAUUAAAGUCUGGUUUCGCUUUGUGGGAGAGGAGUAAGAUCUUGAUAUUGGAUCAAUGUAUCAAAAGUCUUCAUGUUAGUGGAGAUAUGUCUCGUUGGUUACUGCCGGUGCAAGUAUAGAACGUAGGAGUCUCACAUUUGAGGAAAAAAUUGUUGAAUUUAAGUGUGAAGAUUAACUUUUAACAUUUACUACUUUUUAGUUUAAAAUAUAGAUGGUGACUUCUUUGUUUUUGCAGCUGCUUGUAAAGGAUAGUUGGAAAGCAUUUAGAGGUGAAAGUAUAGAACCAAAGCAUCUAAUCUUUAGAAAGAAGAGAUCCUCUUUACUUCAGCUAAAGACAAAAUUAAAUGUGUUUUCGGCAAGUAACAACACAGGAGUUUGUGACUUCACUGUCAAAGGAAGUUUUUUUGGACUGUCUUGGAAGGUUUACAGUGGCAAUUCCAAUAUUGUUGUUGCUAAGGUAUAUUUUUUAACACAUUUACUUUUAUGAAAAACGUUAGAAAAUAAUUAGUCAAAUAUGCAUGUCUCUCUACUAAAUAGAUGAGGUGACAAUCCUCUCAAGUUCAUCCUCCUCGGUUGCCCGUACUGUCAUCAUCUCAACUGACUAUUGAUGUUUUUUUAAUCUAAAAUUGUAAGUAUAUAUUGUUAUAAUUAUUGCAGAUAAUAAAGCUUGGAGGUAUAUUUAGUAGGGAAAAGUUCAUAGUCAACAUAUGCCCGAACAUCGAUUGUGCAUUCAUUGUGGCUCUCAUUGUGUCACUCCCCAAAUGAAAUUAAACGUAUCUUCAUCGCUAUUUUUUAAAUGUGUAUAUUUUUUUUCUGCAAUUGUAAAGAUAAAUAAGGAUGAAAUAUUGCAGUAUUCCUUUUUCUCUUGUUCAUUUAUUAUGUGUUACGAGAUGUUAUGAAUGUGAUGAUAUUAGUUUAUUUGAAUUGUGAUGCUUUGUUGAGAAAAAUAAUAAUAAAUAUGAUACUGUGUUUACUUUGUGCUUUUUGAACAUGAUUUGAAAAAAAUACACAUAGAAUUAUUUCAUCUCAAAAUAAUUCAGAGAGAAAUAUUAGAAUAAAAAAUUAUGACACAUAACAAAAUAAAAAUGAAUUAAUUACUGUUUUGGUCCUUUAAAGAAAUUUUUGAUUUCAUUUUGGUCCCUUAAUGAAUAAACGUUCUGCUUGUGUCCCUUAAAGAUAUCUCCAUUUGCCACAAAGAUCCCUUCUAUUAGUUUUUUUGCAAGAAAGUUAAGUGAAGCAUAGGUGGUACCGUGACGGUCUGAAGUGGCAUUAUUGAUGGCUUAUGCGACAAUAGGGAUACUAAUUCGACUCAUUCUUAUAUAAAAUUUGAUUUUUAUGAUUUGGAAACAAAAUUAGGAUUCCUCAUCUUCACCUCUUUCAGUACCCAUCAUCUUCAUCUUCGCCCAGAAAUAUCAUCACCAUGUUCUUCCCAUCAAACCCAAAAUUUCCAAUUUGAUUAACAUUCCCUCGAUCUAGGUCCAUCAUGUUUCCUCAACGCAUUCCAGUCAAUCCCUAUACUCUCCAACUCAUUGCUCCCAAUUGUCCUCCUCGUCAACACCGUCCUCUCAGAAUUUGACGUCGGAAACAUACUCUUCUUUCGUCGUCGAGAGUAAACAUACAGAACUAGUGGUUUAGCAUAAACCAUCGUAGAAGACGACGUCAUUUUACACAUCGUUUUGUCAUCAACAUCAUCAAUCAGUGAAUCAAUUUCGCAAUUAUUGAACUGGAUCUCGUUGUUGCGUUUUCGAGCUUUAACCUUCUUCGACAUGCAAGGUGGUGUUGAAGAGUAGAGAUGAUUGAGAGGAAGGUAACAAAUGUGGUUAUUCUUGCGGAUCAAAAGAGGAUUGAGGUAUGCAUGGUUAACAAAUGCAAAAAAAAUAAGGGGCUGCAUUGUUGCAAGAGUUUGAGAAGGUUGUGAGGGUUGAAGUUUUUAGUUUUUGUUUGCAAUAAUUUUGGGGUUGCAAAUUAUGAGUUGUAGUUUCUCCCUUCAUUUUUUUAAUGUAAAUAUGUCUCUUAUGCAACAUAACAUUGUCCCGUCAAUAGUUACAAUGCCGCUAACAGAAGGACAUUUGUGGCAAAUGGAGAUAUCUUUAAGGGACGCGGGUAAAAGUUUAUUCAUUAAAGGACAAAAGUGAAACCAAAAAAUUCUUUAAAAAAUCAAAAGAGCAUGCAAAAGCUUAUCGAUUGAUAACUGAGACAUACAAAUACACCGAACUUAAAGAGUAUUUCGUGGCACAGGUUAGUUACUAGUAUAAUUAAUCACUUUUUUUUUUGGUACAUUAAUCACAUAACUUAAUAUCAUUCAAGAUACAACAGUCAUUUAUAACUUUCGUUCCCCCUCUACUCCUUUUUAUAGGCAAUUAAAUUUUGAUAUAUAUUCAUAACUUUAGUGUUACAAAACUAUAAAUCCUAGUAAUUAGCUGUGAUUUAACCGUACCAUAUAAAUAAAUGGGAACGGUAAGUAGACUUAAUUAGGCAAAAGAGAAACCGAUAAAUAUAAUAAUUAACAGAGUUUUGUUUUUAUCAAGUUAAUUAUUAGAGUUUUUUUUGGACAAAAUCAUCCUACACGUUUUCUCCAAAAAUAAUUAUCAUACGUAUUGUUAAAGUUAAUGCGUAUUUAGUCCCUAUGUUCUUCACACUAUUUUUUAAUAAUAUUUUGGCACAUGGUCAAAUAACAAUGUAAAAAAAUAUUUAAUUUUCUAGUUUCCAAUGUUUUCAUCCGCACUCUAUAGUGAAUUCUUUUCUAUUUGUUGUUUGUAGAUUUACGCUCCAUUUUUUUAUGGUGAAAAUUUAUGUUGCAACAUAAAGGAGCUUAUCAUUUUUGAAAUACAACUUUUUAAAAAAAUUAUGAUUUUGACUAUGUUGAUCUUCAAUAAUGUGUGUUUAUGUUAUAUGAUGUCAAAAUUAGUAUUUAAAUUUAGAAAAAACGAAUAUAAAAAACUUAUAAUAUUUUGAAAAACGAUUUUAGAAAAUUUAUUUUAAAAAAUACAAAGAAAAAAUUCAUUUUUUUAAAUCUAAAACAAACAUGCCCAUAACAUCGUCUACUAUUAUUUGAGCAGUAUAAUAUGUUGGUUUGUAAAAGUUUUGAACUUAUUUUGAAAAUAUCCACGUAAAAACUUAUAUAUGGCAGGACUCUCGUUGCUACAGAGCGUUCGAAUCAACUGAGCUAAAUAUUAUUAGAUAUUAUUUGAUUGUCUGUGAGCAUUUAUGGUGUUUGCAUUUUAUCUACAUAUUAAUUUUUUGUUUUACUUGUUUAAAUAUUCGAAUAGUCCCUCCAAAUAUCAAAAAUUUUAGUUUAAAGUCACCAUAAAAAUAUUUUGUUUUCAAUCGUCAUGAAUAUACAACUUUUAAUUUUUUAAUCUUGUUGUUUUAUUUUAAUCCCUACUGAUCGAAUUUAUUCGAAUGAAAUUAGGUCAUGUAAUAUGUAAAAUUUUGAUUUUGUUUCUUAAAAUAAGAACUAAAGUGAAUUUUACAGCAGUCAAUUUUUAAACGGAUUUUACAAAAGGACAUAUUAAUUAACGAAGAAUAAUAAUAUUAUAUUUUACAAAAAAUAAAUAAAUAAUAUCACGGCUUAAAUCGAUAGGUUGGUCUCAUAUUCCACAUUUUAAUUUGUUGCACGCAAAAGAAAGUAAAAAGAAAUGGAAAGUUGACAUGUUCGUGGUAUAUAUGACAUUUAACAAGUCAUAUAUAUUUGGAAUGAACUAAGUUAAGUUUCUUGCCGUACAAGUCAGAAAAUGUUGUUUCAAACCUCACUAUAUAUAUUUAUUUUUUUGAUAAUGUACUUUUCAAAGAUAGUAUAUGGUUGACAAUUUCAUAUCCUAUCACAUACUCAGGCGAUGUCAUCGGACCUCAAAAUUUUGAGGGCCUCAACUCAAAAUUUUGAGGUCCUAUAAUAUUAGUUAUAUAUUAUUUAUACCUACAAAAUAUCAGAUGUAUAUUAAUUGAUUGAUUUUUAGGCCCUAAAGUAAUAGUUAUAUAUUGUUAAUAUUCAUAAAAUAUCAUAUGAGUAUCAAUAGAUUAGUUAACUAUACUCGUAAAUAUAGUUCUAGUCCAUUUUAAUCUUUGCAUAAAAUUUAAUGUUAGAUUAUGAUGUUCCUUUUUGACGUUAUAUGCAAAGAUAAUUGUUUUGUAUUCUUUGUCCCAUUUGAUUUAAUAUUGGUAAUUUAUAUGUUUACAAGAAUAAGAGUGAUUUUUUUUUGGUAUUAUAUACAAUUUAAAUCGAUAAUUAUUUUUUUUAAAAAAAAUAUUUUUUUAUUAAGAGACCACUUUUAUAUUUUGCACAGAGCCCUCUAAAACUUGAAGACGACACUGACAUACCACACAUAUAAAUAAGCUUCGGUGCCACACAUAUCCUAUCAUUCUACAUUAACAACUUCAACAAAUUAAAUCUUCAUGGCAAAUCAACCACCACCCUCUACUACUGCCAUCAUUGGCCCUCAAUACUGUGCUCCAGGUAUGAAUUUACCAUGUUUGUCAGACAUUUAAGUUGGUCAAGAGACAUGAGUUUAUCUUAAAAUUUAUCAUAUAAUGUAUUUCUAGUUAAGAGUUGUGUUAUAUUAUAAACUAGUAGGAUAGGGUAAAAAAAAAAUCGAUAUGAUAAGUAUCUAUAUUGUCUCUAUAUAGCUUAUUUUUAGCUAGUUCAGAAUUAUAUCAUGUGAAUCGUACAGAUUCUUAUUAUUAAAUCAAUCUCCAAAAGACGGAUUUCUAAUAGUGUUGACUAUAAAUAGAAUUUUUGUAAACAAGUAGAAUUAUUUCAUGGAAUAGUCCCCGUGACUUAAAUCGAGAUUGGUAGGGACAUCAUAUUUUAUAUGCAGGAAUCGGAGUUCGAAAUCUUUAGAUUUACCAAUUUAAAAAGAAAAAUAAAUAAAAAAAUCUCACGUUCAGAGAUAAUUCAGGAUUGAAGUAUUUUUUAAGAAUUAAAGAGUGGGAAAAGAAGCUUUCAACUCUAUAGUAAAUCACCCUAAAUUGAUUGAUACAAGACUUGUAUUUUCAUUGAAUAAAUCUUUGUUUGUCUAUAAAAUGCUUUACUGUUUUUAUAAAAUAAAUUAAAAAAUGAUUUAUUAAGUUGUACUAUUAUAUCCUAAUCCAAGUCAUGUCUAACAACAUGAAAGAAUGGUUCAAGUAUCUUUAAAUCUUAAUUCUAAGAUGCAUCAAUAUGUAUAUCUAUCAUUUUACUAUUUUUUUGUUUGUGAUUUCAGCUACACAUUCAAUUGAUUUGAUAGUCAUAAGGGAGAAAUUUAGCUACAACUUCACUGUUAAAGAUCUCAAUGACAAUGUUGUUUUCAUAGUUAAAAGUUCUCCUGAAGUAUUCUUAGCAACCCGUGAAGACCGAUUUUUAUACGAUGCUAACGGAAACCCCAUUCUCAAUCUACGUACAUCGGUUCGUUCAACAACUAUUCAAAAAUCACCCAAUUUUCUUGGUAAUGAGUACUCUUUCUGUGGAGUGAAAUGUACAAACAAAUAAUUCAAAAAGUCAAAUAUAUAUAUAUUUGUUCUAAAAUUUAGACCGAAUAUAUUUGAAUUUUUGAAUUAUUUUUGUUUAUAUUUCAUUUCAGAGAGAGACUAAAUGAUAGCGACUACUUUGUUUUUUGCAGCUACUCGCAGCUGAUGAUAAUUGGAAAGCAUAUAGAGGUGAAAGUAAAGAACCAAAGGAUCUUAUCUUUACUAGGAUGCCUUCUGAAUACAUGCAAAUAAGAACCAAAUUAAAUGUGUUUUUGGCAAAUAACAAUGAAGUUUGUGACUUCACUGUCAAAGCAGAUUUUUCUGGACAAUCAUGGAAGGUUCUCAUAGGCAGAUCCGACAAUGUUAUUGCUCAGGUUUAUACUACCUCCUAUUAAAAUUGUUGAUUUUUUAGAUUUAUUGAAUAAUUGAUAUAUCUUAUCUAUAUUAUAGACUCAAUACGUCAAUUAUUUAAUAAAUCUAAAAGAGAGUUGUUUAUUUUAUUUUUUUUAUAAAAAAACCGAAGUAAUAUUUAUUAUUGUUAGAAAAGAGAGUUAAAUUGAUUAUGUUAAAUUUGAUUUUGUUAAAUUUUGAAAAUGAAUCUUAAGCAAGGUGAUGUAAAUGGAUAAUAUUUUCAGAAAGAAAAUUUAGGGUGUAAAAAGUAAAGAGUGUGGUGCAAAAUGUACUCCUUAUAGAGAUAAUUGUUGCUUUUUUAAUCAGAAAAGUAAAUAUAUUACAAGAAACAUAUAUUAGGCCUAACUAAGCUAUCAGGUUUGAUAUAGUGGUGAAAGAUUUCAUAGUAUGGAUGCAUGAACUCCUAGAUUCGAUCCUCAUUGCUAUUGUAAAGCUAUGUCUAACCCUUUUUUUUUGUUAUAAUGGAAGUAGAGAUGAUCGAACCUAAUAUCUCAUGCAUACUACCCAAAUCUCUUACCACUAGACCGAACCUAAUAGAUUAACUAGCUAUGCCUAACCUUAUCGUCAGUAUAUGAAAUAUGAGUUUGAUUUUUUAUUAUUUUUGGUUUGAGAGUUUGAUUUUAUUUUUUUUACAAUUGAGUUUGAAAUUUUUUAAUCCAUCAAACAUGGCCUUUUUUAAAGUAGUUUAUAGUAAUUAAAGUUUCAUAUUUUAAAAUGAAUUAAUGGAUGUAUAUUAAAAUUUAAAUCUCAAUUUUUGUAUAUUACAUGAAAUAUUUCUAUCAACUAUAUCAUAUUUACAAAAACAAUAUUAUAUUAACUAGAUAACACAGAGAAUGGCCAUAGCAAUCCUAAUAACAUAUAUAGAAAAACUACAUCCUUCAUUUCUUAGAUCAAAAUAUUAUUUGAUCUAAAAUUGUUAUUGUUAUUACUGCAGAUAAAUAGGAAGCCUCGUGCUUUAUUCAGCAGGGAAAAGUUCAUGGUAACCGUGUGCCCCAACAUCGAUUAUGCAUUCAUUGUGGCUUUAACUGUGACCCUAACAAGUUCAACCAGAAAAAGCUCUAUUUUUUAAUUUUUUCUAUACUAGUUUUUUUUUUAUGUAUAUAUACUAGUAUGUUAUUAUGUUAUUAUUUUUUAAAACUUUAUAUGAUAUUGUAUAAUAUUUUUUUUUUCACUCAGCUCAAUAUAUUGACCCUUAAAAACACUUAAGUUUAUAUUGUUAAUUAUGUACUUUUUUUUUGUUCUUUAAAUGUAAGGAUAGUUAAUGUGUAAUACUUUUAAUAAAGUUACUCUUUGUAUGUAUAAAUAUAUGUUCAAUGUGGUCUUUUUUAUCUUUCAAAACAGUUAGUAGUAUUAAUAAAAAUUAUAUCUAGCAGUUCCCGUGAACUUAGCUCAGUUGGUAUAGGGACAUCGCACUAUAUGUGCAGGAGCCCAGGUUAAAUCCGAGAUACUCCACUUAUUCACCUUUAAGGUGAAUUUUCUAACUACUAAGCUAUUUAGAAAAAAAAAUUAUAUCUAGCAACCUAUAUGCAUAUUGAUAAGCUUCUCUCUAAGAAUGAGAGCUGAGAACCUCCCACUCCAUAUUCAACAAUAUCCUAAUAUUCUUCACCGAAUAACCCAUACCACAGUUGAUUGUUUUUCCUAAUACUAAUUAAUAAUUAAAAGAGUUUCUUUUUUUAUCAUGUGCAAAUUUUGCACAUUUUAAGAAGUUCAAAAUAAUUUAAGUAAAAAAAAAAGGUUCAAAAUAAUAAUUACUUUUUAAUAAAAAAAUUACUAUUUUUGGUUAUUUUAAUAUACAUGCAAUACUGCACAUGUUAAACAAACUCUAACUAAAAAUACAAAUAUUUAGAAUCCCUUAUUGAAAAAGCAAAACACAUUAUAGUUUAUCCACAAGUGUUAAUUCAAUUGACAGAGUAAAUAUCGUUAGGCCGAAAGUCAUCGCCUAUACUUGUAACCAAAAAAAUCUUUCAAAACAAAAGUUAGUAGUAUUAAGUUGGGAAUGAAUUGAGUUUUUCUUUCAAUAUUAAAUAAAAAAUUAAUCUUGUUCAAACCUUACUUUUCAACAUGGUUGACAAGUUUGGCACAAUUUCAAACCUUGUGUCAAAAAAAAACAUGGUUGACAAUUUCAAAUCCUAUCCAAAUAUCACAUGUGUAUAUAUAUUAGGUGCCAAACUAUAGGACAUAAUUCAUUCUACAUUCAACAAAGACAAACAUCUCUAAAACUCAUUCUUUGAUAUUAAUUCAAUCAUCAUCAUGGCAAAUCAACAUCCACCACUCUCUACAACUGCCAUCAUCAACCCUCAAUACUGUGCUCCAGGUAUCAACCUUGUUCUUGGGACAAUUUUUACUAAGUGAUUAUUAAAACCACUUUUCCUAAGUAUAUUUAUUUGUUUGUCUAUAAAAAGUGUUUUGUAAGUUGUAUCCAAACAUCCUUUUACCAUUUUCUUGGUUUAAAAAAUUUCAGCUACACAUGCUAUUGAUUUGAUAAUCACAAAGGAAAAGACUUUAAGAGAUAACUUCACUGUCAAAGACAUCAACGACAACAUCGUUUUCACCGUUAAAAGUUCACUUGUAACCUUUGUAACACCCCGCCAACACCGGUUCUUAUUUGAUGCUAACGGAAAUCCCAUUCUCCAUCUUCGUAGAUCGGUUAGUUCAUCAACUAUUAAAAAAUCACCCAAUUUUCUUUCUUACUAUAUUUUUCCCUUCUUGAUAAUUAGUACUCUCUCUGUGGAAUGAAAUGCACAAAAAAAUAAUUCAAAAAGUCAAAUAUAUAUAUUUGUUCUAAAAUUUAGACGGAAUAUAUAUUUGAAUUUUUGAAUUUUUAUAUAUUUCAUUUCAGAGAGGGAGUAUCGAGUUGUAACACGUAUAAAUGAUAGCAACUACUUUGUUUUUGCAGCUGCUAGCAGCUGAUGAUAGUUGGAAAGCAUAUAGAGGUGAAAGCUCAGAACCAAAGGAUCUUAUCUUUACUAGGAAGCGUUCUUCAUUAAUACAACUAAGGACCAAAUUAAAUGUGUUUUUGGCAAAUAAUAACACAGAAAUUUGUGACUUCACUGUCAAAGCAAAUUUAUCUGGAAAAUCUUGGAAUGUUCAUAUUGGUGAAUCCAACAAUGUUGUUGCUCAGGUUUAUUUUUUACUUAUUAUUACUAGUUUUAUGCAAAAAGAAAUGGUAGAAAAUUGAAUAUACCACUCUCAAAAUGGAAAAAAUAAAAUAAAAAAUAGACACUUCGGGUCCGUUUGAUCUGCAAAAUAUAAAUACUGGACAGAACAGUACAGGACGGUACAAGACAGAACAACACAAGACAAACGUUUAAGGUAUUGAACAAACUUUGUGUUGUACGAUGUUUGGUGAACAAAAGGUUAUUUUGGUAUUUUAGACAACUUGUGCUGAGGACAAAAAGUUGUCUCGUAGUUCUGUGGGGGACAAGAAUUUCAAGUUUUGUCCUGUCCCUUGGCCCCCAGUUUGUCCAGUACCAGGAACAGUUUUAAAAUCAAGCACAGUACAACAGGAGUUGUUCUGUCCAGUCCCUUAUUUUUUAGCAAAUCAAAAAUAAACUUAUAUUUAUUCUGUCAAAAAUAAACUUAUAUUCUGUCAAAAAUAAACUUAUAUUUAUUAUAUCUAAAAUUGUUAGUAUUGUUAUUAUUGCAGAUAAAUAAGAAGCAUGGCACUAUGGUUAGCAGGGAAAAGUUCAUGGUCACUGUGUACCCCAACAUUGAUUAUGCAUUCAUUGUGGCUCUAGUUGUGACCCUUGAUUAAGUUUUCUAUCUCUGCUUCUAGCCUAGUCAGGGUAGCCCUCAGGGCAGCCCUCGAGGAAGUGCUCUAGUUCAGAAGAUUCGGCAAAUAUUCGAGCUAGAUUGGAAGUUCGUUGUGCAUCAUUCCUAUCGUAAAGUCAACCAGCGUACUAAUGUCUUGGCUAAUAUUGAUUGUUCCUUGGCGGAUGGUAGCAGAUUCUUUGAGACUUCCUACUAAGUUGAGUCAUGUGUUGCUGAUGUUAUGGGAAUUACUACCCCGUGCUUAAUCUCGUUGUAGUUUUUUUUUUCUUUGGCCUUGUAAUAAAAUAAAAAUUAAGUUUUAGGUCUACAUUUUAUGAUGAGCUAAUGUAUGGAAACAUAUUGUCUCCCGUCAGAAUCACACACGGGAGGGAAUAAAGUGUGGAUCCACACCCUCCAUUUAUUUAUUUUAAUUAUUGAAACACAUGUAAAAAAUUAAUGAAUGGUUCGGAUUUGACUGAAUUCUUCAUUGACCGGAGAGGAUCCGGUCCCCUAAUGUACAUAUGGCAUCAGUUUCUUCAAAAUAUAUUUUUUGUUACUUUAAAUGUAAGGAUAUGAUCCCUCUAAACAUAAAAUAUAAACAACAACAACAACAAAAAAAGUAUUUUUGACAAAACCUUAAACUGUGACCAAAAUCCCUCAAUUAACUAAUAAAGACAACUCAAACACCUCAAAAUGCCUGCAGAUUGUUGUUGCUAAUACUAAUAACUAGAAAUACUAAGGAGCCACUUUUUUUGGACUUUAACCCUCCGGUUUUCAAGAUAAAGGAAUCUUAGUAAUCUGGAAUUAAGUGAAGAGAUAAAUAAAGUAUGACUAAAUGUUCUCUCGAACAAUUCGCCCUUACCUGAAGCACCAUGAACUCAACCACUUGGUUAAUUGGAGACGCUUAUUGAACAAGCAAAACACAUUAUAGUUUUGAAAAAGUAAGCUAGGGGUUGAUAAUUGUUUUAUAAAAUGAUUAAGAGUGAAAAUGACCAUCUAGACAUUUUCUAAGCAUAGGUCCAUACUAUACAAUAUACAUGUAUGCAUGUAGUAUUGUUACACAAAACUGACAACUUCAAUUGUCCUCCAAUCUUGGUUCAGAUGCACCUUGUUCAUUUGAAGGUGAUUGUUCUUGAGCUGGUGCACUAGUCUGCACUGGUUUUUUGAACUGCACUAAGAUCAUUGUCAUGUUAUCGCAUCCGUCACCAACAGCUAAUGAUGGCGCCAAACACCGGUCUAGCACUCUUUCACAAACCUCAGAAAGUUUGGUUUUCUGUGAGAUAAAAAGAUGGUAUCAUGUCAAAACCAUUUGUUACACAAAUCAGCUAAACUACAUUGAAAUAAUACUUUGAUUGCUGAUGACGAACAAAAAUGUAAAACAUGAACACUCACCAAGAGAAGUUCUUGACGUACAAAAUCUACCAAUUGUUGGCUUGACAAACAAUCCCUGGAAACGUAAGAAUAACAACUCAACUUACUCAAGAAUUUCCAAGAAAUGACAUUUAAACUAAAAUGGGAAUAUAAAGCAUAAGAAAUAAGAAUCAUACCAUAUGCCAUCACAAGCUAUCACCAUAAAUUCAUCUUCGUCAUGAAGGUCAACCUAUUAUAACAUGUCAAAACCAAAACUAUCAGUCAUAACAUUACUAAAAGUUGAAAACAUGUAGAAGUAGGAGUAGCAUAUACGAAGACUCUUGACUAAGCAUUUCAUUAUUGAUUCUACCAUAUUGGUAUUACGUAAUCUGAUUUGCAUGUGAGCCUUACAGUGUUUAUGUCUGGAUUGGCAGUCACAGCUUGUUUUUCAGCAGAAAGAAAUCUAUUAUUCUUAAAAUCCACGUCACCUGCAGAAUAUUGAAACGUGUUUAAUGGAAACUAUAGAAACCAUAUAAGCGUAUCUUCACAAAGCAGUUAUAUAUCUUGAAAUCUUCAAUUAUGCAAUUUGAAACCAAACAACAUGCAUGCAAGUUUACCCCCUCUUGCCUCCUAAGUAACCGAAAUAAAGCGUACAAAAUAGAAAUAAUAGUAAGAUUCCUUUUAUUUUUGGUGCACUAAAAUUAUCAUUUAUCUUAUUCAUAAAUUAAUGUAUUUGCCUAACUAAAGGCAGAGGGGAAUGUCACUUACUAAGGUUAAAACUGAAUAAAGGAAGCUCACUUGCCGGUAGGUCGGUAUAUACCUAUAGCUCUUGCAAGAUUUAAACUCCCGUUAACUCGUCCUGCAUGAAUAAAACCACCAGCUUUAUAUAUUCUUUCCUUCUCAAUCGCAAGUUCAGGUUUGUGGUCUCUAGAUAAAUUGUAUGCCUGUAGAACAAAAAUCCAUAGUCAGAAUAAAGUUAUGUCGUUAUCUUGAAGUUUCUACUUAACACAUAGCCUACAAAAUAAAAAGACCGAAAUAAAAGACCAAUAAUUUCCAUUUUGAAGUUACCUGACCGUUCCUAGAUAUUACGCAGCGUGAAUCACCAGCAUUUGCAACAAAAAGUAGGUUGUUUCGAAUGAUUGCGACACAGGCAGUACUUCCUGAAGUCGGUCCAUCAAAAUCAGAAUGAGGCCCCUGCUUACAAUGUAAAAAGAUCAAAUUAAUGAAUGCCAGAAACUAAGUAUAUCAAACGAAAGUUGUACGAAUGCUGAAAAUUGAGAAUUGAAGUAUACAUUCCACAUCAUCCCUACCUUCUCAAAGGUCCAAUCAUCAUCACUUUGGUCCUUAUUAUCGCCACUGCAUCUUGGAGACCGAAUCAAUCCUUCAAUCAUUCCAUUGAACCCUUUUACCUUAUCACCCAAGACUGCUAGUUCCCUCCAUCCCCUUUGACCACGCAUCAUCUCGUCCAUUCUGCAUAAUAACCAAAAAUGAUGUUCAUAACUCACUUUUUUAUUACUUUCAAAACAGUAUGAGAAAACCAUCCAUUAACGAGGAACUAGUGGUUACUUUUUCUUCUAUGAUAUCAAUUUCAACAGCAGACAAAUGAUGCAUGCAAGAUAAACUUCACAACAGGCUCUCUUUUUUUAGCUUACCUGAAAAAUGCUUUCUGAAGAGAUGUUCCAACAUCUCCAGCUAUGUAUUCUUCACUCUUGAGUACCUGUUGGUGAAGAUACUUGGCGCAAAACUUUGCAACCGCCUUACCUGAAAAUUUUGAAAUUUGUGUUAUAUGAGCACAUAUAACAUAUUGAUUACAAACACAUAAUUUCUGUAAUAUUCUCCUCUUUUCCUGGCUUGAAUCACUGACGUGCAUGAAUAACCAAACUUUAUUAAAAUUUUACCUCCAUGACCGUCAUAAACGCCAAAAAAAGAAGUGGAUGAAUCCACAUCAAGAUGUGCUGCAUGCUAGCAAAAUAAAACAAUGAUAGAAGUCAACUACAUAUCGAUGUUCAACUCAAGCAAUCUAAGAAACACAAAUACCAUGAAAUGAGUUCCAAAAUACAAAGUUAAAAGCAUCGUUAAUGGUACUAUACUAAACAUAAUUCAAUCAACACAAACAGCUCAUUUUCUCUAAUACACGUGAAUUGUUGAAUUUGUGAUUUCUGUGUCUAAAUCAAACCACACUCACCGCUAUUUAUAAUAUAACAUAGAAUAAAUUCCAGUUGGUAUGAUUUUCUAAUUGAAAUCCUAAUCUAUGAUUAUAAUCCAAAUAAUAAUUAAACAUAAAUGGAUUUGAUUCUAACAAGAAUAAAACAUAAAAUUACAUCUUCUUACCACCUAACAACAAUACCAUUUCCCAACUUCACACAUUCAGCAAAGCUCAACCAUGCAGAACACUAUAAUUGGAUCACAUAUAAUUGUUUCCACAAUACUACCAAAAUGAAUACUGACACGGACACGUGGACUCUAAAUAAACUUUGAAUAAACUUACAGUGUCAACUCUAAAAACAUGAAUACUGACACGGACACGACAUUGACACGUGGACACCGAUAAUAAUUUGAGAAAAUGACAUAAUUCAAAUGUAAUCAUAUGUGUCACCGCGUGUCCAACAUCAGGACACGCAGAGUGUUUGUGCUUCAUAAUAAGCUAAGAAAAAUCCAUUCACACACAAGACUUUCGAUUUCAUAAUAUUUUGAGUGAUUAAUUACUACUUACUGCAUCUUCCAUUGUUGCACGCCAUCCUUGCAUAGAUGAUAAUCCAUAUCUAAGCUGGUCAUUUUCACCAUCUUCAGAAAACUUUUCAGUUUUGGGAAUGCUUAGACUUGUUCCCAUUGCUACAUCCAAAUUAAAACAAAAACAAACAUUACUUUUACUUCUUCAAGCAUGAAAAGUAAAGAAAACUUAUACCAAAAAAUAUAAUACAAAACCAAACAUAACUUUUGCAAUUCUACUACAUAGGAACAAGUCUCAAGUCAAAGCAAGAGGAAUCAUGUAAUUUUUUUUGUUACCUUUCUGUUUUUUUCUCAAUGUCAGGGUUCAAGAAAAAAUAUUAAAAAACAAGGAAUUAAAAACUUGAAUAUAAAAUAUCAAAAUAAAAACAGACAAAGCAAGCAGAGUUAAAAAAUAUUAAAUAUUUAAAAAAUGGAAAUUUGUAAAAUUAAUAUUUUUUUUAAAAAAAUUAGAUGUUAAUUAGGCAAGGAAAUAUGUGAACAAUGAUGAAAAUGAAAAUAAAGAGAGAAGCAAUAAUUUUAGCUAAACAGAAUGUAGAAUUCAUAAUCAUGAAGAACAAGGAAGACCCAGAUGAGAAUAUGAGUAGUAAAUAAAAAAUAUGAGCUAAAAAUAUAAUUUUUUUAAAAAAAUUCUCACUUGAAAAUGGAGAGAAACUUUGUAAACAAACAAUUCAAGAAUACAAUAAAGAUUGGUUUUUUAUGAUUGAGGUGAAGGUGGAAUGAAGAAAUAAAUGAUGGGUUGAUAGGGAGGGUGAAGAAGUGUACCAAGACAUAAAAGAAGUAUGAUGAAAGAGAGAGAGUAGUUGGUAGAGAGAGAGAGAGAGAGAGUGGAGAAAACACAAGUAGUGUUGCCACUAGUGAUGAGUCAGAAUAAAGAAUGAAAAGGAGAAGACUUUCUGGUUUUUGUGACACAGAAAUUUCCACAACUUUGUUCAUCCACUCACUAACCACAACAUUUUCAUAAACAUUUUUUGUUCUUUUUAAUGAUAAAAAAUUAGUUUUGUUUGGUUCAAUUGUUUGUAUAUGGACACUCUCUUAUCUCUAGUCUCUAUAUAUAGAUACGUUUACAAUAAUGUUACAUGUUACCUGUAUGGAUAUGCAAUUUAUCAUUUCUUCUUUUAUUUAUUAUAAUAUAAUAUUAUUAGUGUUUUUUUGUCAUAAGUACUAAAUAAAUAUCUCUUCAUCCUUAAUUAGUAUUCAUUCUUGUCUUUUUCUAAAAGACGUUUAAUCUUUCUAGAUUCAUUGAAUAAUUAAUGUAUUUGGUCUAUAUUAUAGAUCAGAUACGUUAAUUAUUCAAUAUAUCUAGUUAGGUGAAGUGUCUUUUAUAAAAAAAGACCGAAGAAAAUACUUUUUAUUAUUUCCCAAUUCUUUAGUUUUUUCUAUUUUUUUUUCUUUUUUAUUUAAUUGAGAGACAUAAAUGAAAGAGAUUAUCCAAUUUGACUAAAUAUAUUUACUCAAAAAAAAUUUGACUCUAUUUAAUACCAUGUUUAAUAAUAUUAAUCUCUUUGAAAAAUAUAUUUUAAAAUAAAUUAAACUUUUAACUAUCUUUAUAAUAUUAAUUACUUUUUUUUGACAAAAUUAAUUACUCAUUUUUCUCUCAAUAUUUUAGUAUAUUUUUUCUACUUUUUCCUAUUUAUUAUAAUGGGGAGAAAUGAAAGGAAAAGAUUAUCCAAUUUGACUAAAUAUAUUUACUAAUUUAUUUUGACUAAAUGUUCAAUAAUAAUUAAUCUAUUUACAAAAAAAAUAAUAUUAAAAUACAUCACCCUUUAUGUAAUUAUUUUUUAUCAUUAAGUAAUAAGUAUUAAGAACGAAAAAAAAAAGUAUUUUUUUGUCUAUUAGGUGUCAGCUACUAAGAGUUUAGUCUUAUAUAUAACCUCAAAUGAUAAAGUUUAAAUCUAUUCGGAAAUAAUUCUAAAAUGAUUGUAGUAUUAUUUUAUGAGUCUUGCUAAUGAGUGUUUUUAUGAAACUUUUUAACAAUUUUAUUAUAAAAGAUUAAACAUUUCAAUUUAAAUACAUUGACUCCAUAUAUUUUUGUAAAAGUUUAUUAUUUAAAUUUUAAGAUCUUUAAAGAGCGUCUCAAACAUACCGAUUAACAUUUUCGUUAUUUUAUUAAUAUUGAUAAUUCCUUUUUUCCAUUCUAAUUUUUUUAUUUUAUUUUAAAAAUCUCAUGUCUAUAAUCAUAUACGAACAAGGGUCUUUUUUAGACCGAAGAAAAUAAUUUUUAUUAUUUCACAAUUUUUUAGUUUUUUCUAUUUUUUUUUAUUUAAUUGAGAGACAUAAAUGAAAGAUAUUAUCCAAUUUGACUAAAUAUAUUUACUCAAUUUUUUUUUUUGACUCUAUUUAAUACCAUGUUUAAUAAUAUUAAUCUCUUUGAAAAACAUAUUUUAAAAUAAAUUAAACUUUUAACUAUCUUUAUAAUAUUAAUUACUUUUUUUUGACAAAAUUAAUUACUCAUGAGUGGAAUUCAUUCUAUUGAGAGAAAAAUGAGUAAUUCAUAUUUUAGUAUAAAUAUUUUAAUAUUGAUAAUUCCUUUUUUCCAUUUUAUUUUUUAUUUUUAUUUUAAAAAUCUCAUGUCUAUAUACGAACAAGGGUAAUGUUUGAAGUUUGUUAGUACCCUUAAUCUUUGUCUCAUGAAAAUAAGAAAAACUUCCACAAAGAACACCUUGAGCAUCUAUGAGAACACUGAUGUCUUCUUUACGUUGCCAAAAUAAGCUUACGUACCCAAAAUGAAAGAGGUGUCUUUAUUUUAUAAACUUGUACUCCAUUCGUCUCAAAAUAAUUAUCACAAUUAAACAAUGUGUACUAUUUAUAUAAGUUACUUUGACCAUAAUUUUUUAUUAAUAUAUAAAGAUAAAUAUCAGCAUAUGAGAUUUUGUUAGAUUUGUCUCAAUGAGUAUUGUCAACGUGAAAGUGGACCUAGAACUACUACUAUGAACGUUUAACGCAUUAAAAUAUCUCAGUCACAUAUUUUUAAUCGGGUAGUUUUUAUCCUAAUACUCUCGCCGGCCGAUGGCUUUUCAAUGGAACAUUACUGUGGUGCACACGCGUAUGGAGAGCUAUAUAUACUCCACUGGUGCAGUGGAGUCAGAUACGCAUACUUACUUACAAAAAAUAUUUGUUUCACUCUCACUGACUUGAGCGUCGGAGAACCUGCAAGUACACAACCCUCUUCACUUCACCAGGGGUCGGAACGGAGCAACGCCAGACACGAUCACUCUUCUUAUCAGGUAAGAUCAGCUAAGCUAAUGCGUUAACUUCGCUAGAUCAUUCUAUUAAGUUUAUUUAUUCGAUCCCUAGUUAGAUUAGCAACGCUACUAUUUGUUGCCAAUAAUAAUUUAGGAAAUACCGUUAUCCACUCAAUAUUCACUUCAACUUUGUCAGUUCUCUCAGUUUCUUCUCUUUCUCUUUCUCUUUCACUUCUGAACCACACAAAAAUGGCUUCCAUGGCUGCUUUCUCCACAACCUUCUUCACACCUCUUCAAUAUAGAACAACUAACUCAACUACUUCUUUCCCUACUCUCAUCAAAUCCUCACUUGCUUCUUCCAAUUCAUCCUUUUUUCAACAUGCCUUUUCUCAACAAACCUCAUUCAACUCGAACAACAACAACCCUGUUUUCAAGUCUCGCUCUUUCUCAGUCAACGCUAGCGCUACCACUAAUAAAACCAUUUAUGAUUUCACCGUCAAGGUACCUACUAUCAUCUUCAAUUUUCAAUUUUGUAUGAGUCUUAGAGUAGAAAAUUUGUUUUUUGUUUAUUCAUUUUUAUUGUUGUCAUAAUUUGUUAUUACUAAUUAUAUACAGUUUUUUUAUUGGAUAAUUAUGUUUUUUUUUUUAAUUAUGAUUGGAUAAUUAUGUUAUUAUUAUGUGCUGUAGGAUAUUGAUAAGAAGGAUGUUAAUCUUAGCAAAUUUAAGGGGAAGGUUAUCUUGAUUGUCAAUGUUGCUUCAAGAUGGUAUGUUAUUAUUUUGUGAGAAUCUUAUCUUUUCCAAUUGUAAUGUUUAGGGAGUGGUUUAGGUAUGCUUAAACAUAUAGUUCUAAAUUGCGGUCGUAGGUGCAGCCGCAAUAUAAGGUUUUAGAAGGAGUUUAAUGGAUAUACUGACAAUAUAAAAUAAUUUUACACGGUCAUCCAAUAAGAAAUAAUCAAUUUGCCAUGUCAUACAACUAAUUUCAAAAUAACUUUGUGAUUUGGCGGAAUACAAGAUGCUUAUUGGAUGUCACCGUAAAACUAUUAUGCACCACUGUUGGUGCAUAUUCUAUUAUCUCUUUUAGAAGAUUCCACUUUGGUAUGGUAUCCUAACUAUAGUUUCGGCCGCAUUGGUUGCAUUUUUCCAUAUUUUACCACAAUAUCUAAGUUCGUGCAUAACUGCAACCGCAAUUUAGAACUAUUACAGUCCCAUUUCUCUUAUGUGAGACACUAAAUUCCCCUCAGUUGCAUACACCUCUAAAUUUGUUGUACAAAAAUUGAGUGAGUGUGUGGUAGUUAAACAGAACUGAGAUGAUGAAUUUGGUGUCAUUCAUUUAAAAAAAUUAGUGUGUAAGUCUUCAUUUUUUUAAAAAAAUAAAUAGAAGGGGUGUGUUCUAUUUAAGCAUACCUUAGGAGAGAUAAGUCAGUUUCUCCUAAUCAAAUACUAUUUGAAAAGGUCAAAUCGAAAGUUAUGUCAAAGUUUCUGGUAAGUUAUGAUUCUAUUGAAUGAUUUCUUUUAAAUGACAGCGGUUUGACAUCAUCAAACUACACAGAACUCUCGCACUUAUAUGAAAAUUUUAAAGACAGAGGUACGUUACUUAUGGACCAUAGUUAUGACUAUUGGCUACUACUUGAAAUUUGGAUCUGAAUCCAUCUAUCUACCUGUGCAAUUAUUCUGUUCUGUGUUGGAUCCUAUAUCUUGUAUAAGAUUAGAAGAGCAGUAUCCCUUCCUUUCCAUUGAAAUUCAGGCACAGCCGCACAGGUUAUUGGUAUUUUUAGAUGUGGAUGCUAACAUGUGAAUUAAGUUAACCAUCUGGGACAUGUUAUUGAUCGCUUUAAAAAUCAGAUCUCUAUUUAAAGUAUUUAUCCAUCAGACAAACAUUUCGCUAUCGGUCAUGGUUUUAAAAUGCACGUCCAUUUCAACCAACGGUGGUUGAGUCUAGCAGAAGGGGAUAGUCUCCCUAUUGCAACAAAACACAUUUUGAAUAUUUUCCGGAAGAGACACUCACAUUUAGAUUGUGCCUCAAACAGAAUUGACUCGUGUAUGAGGAUAUCCGAGGGAAACCUAAAACAUAAUGACUGUUUGUUUCAUUGUAUACUGCUUUAUCCAGUUUAUACAGACAACCUAUCUUUCUUCAUUUUCUUGUUUUUAUAGGAUUACACUGUUUGGAAAUUAGCUGAACAAAAAUGUGAGUUAAUGCAUUUUGAUUACAAUUAAAAUUUUGCGGUGGAAGAAUUCGCAAAAGGAUAGAAUGACUAUUGUAGCCAUCCAAUUUUUGUUCCAUGUCUGUAAUUAACAUAAAUAGCAUAUCAGGGUCACUAUAUGGUGGAACAUGAUCGAACUUUAGCCUUAGAUGCUUUUUUGUUGUAGGAAAAUUCAAAACUUUCCAAAGGAUUGAUUCGAAAUUAACUGAAAGUCAAUUUUCUACUUUGUUUCUCUUUGUACAUGGCUUUCAGAUUUUUAGUUCUAAAGUAAUUUUUUCAUCAGCCACACAUUUUUAGUGUCAUUAUGCAUUUUAUUUCCAGGUUUCGAGGUUCUAGCUUUCCCUUGCAAUCAAUUUGGCAUGCAGGAGCCUGGAUCAAAUGAAGAAAUUAAGCAAUUUGCUUGCACCAAGUUCAAAGCAGAAUUUCCAAUUUUCGAUAAGGUUUGAUAAUGUUUCUUCAUCCAGUAGUUUUGAAUAAAUUACAUGCGAGUAAACAACAUAAUGAAGUUGUGUAAAACAGGUUGAUGUAAAUGGACCAUUUACUGCUCCAGUAUACCAGUUUCUGAAAUCAAGUUCUGGAGGCUUUUUUGGUGAUCUUAUCAAGUGGAAUUUUGAGAAAUUCUUGGUUGAUAAAAAUGGUAAAGUUGUUGAAAGAUAUCCACCAACAACUUCUCCUUUUCAAAUUGAGGUACUUUACACUUUUGAUCCGAAUAAAAAAUCUAGUUUCAAUUUUUAUAAUGGCAAUGAAUAUUUUAACUAGUUAGGUACUUACGAAAAGUAUGCUUAUGUGUUUUUCUGAACAAUAUUGAAGGUGAGAGUAAUAGGUCUUAAGUGGUUGUGUAAUGUAGCUAGAAAGAAAAUGUUUUCUGCUGUAUGAAUUUUUAAAUGGUGUAUUUGAUAAUAUCGAGAAAUUUAGCACCGAAGAUUCAGUGUUGAAACUAUGUGGUGAAAGUUCCUGUGCUAAGAUUCAAUGUUUGAAAACUCUUGAGGGAAGUGUUUAUAUUUGUGAGUUCUCAAAGAAAGGCUUGUGAGUUGGGUUGGGAACAUGUAAUGCUAAAUAUUUGCUAGCCCUGCGUGAUAAUAGUUUCUUUUAGGACAGGUUUUUCUAGCACUUUUCUAGAACUCUAGGAGGGACUUUACUGGCUAUAACGUCGUCGGAAUCUUCCUUAUGCCAAAGAAAAACGAGCGAUGCUCCGAAUCCAGUCUCCAAGGGUUUAGACUCAAUUGUUCAAUUGGGUACACACUGUCAUUGAGGUUCCAUAACCUCUGUGUAUGGAUAUCUCUAUGCUGUGUUUGAAAGAGUUUUAUAUAAGCUUAUUUUACAACAUAAACACUUGUGUAAGUGUUUGAGAUCCAUAAGCUAUGUUUAGCUUAUUUCAAUAAGCUCCGUAGGAUAACUUAUGAAAAUAGCUUAUGACUUAUAUGAGAUGUAUAACUACAUUCUUUCUUUGCUUAUAGAAAUAGCUCAAACAUAAGUUGCUUAAUUAAGCUGAUUAUUCAAAUGCACCCAUUUUUUUUCCAACUUAUAUGAAGCACUAUAUUAUACCAUUUUCCACUCUACUAGUUUCUGAUGUAAAUUGCCAUUGGUUUGUUGAGUUGCUUAUAAGUAUUUGUAGCAAAGUCGGCAGAUGAAAUUCUAUAAAACAAGGUGAGUCAAUGUCAAUGAUGAGUCCGGAUUUGCUCCAUUUACCAAGCUCCGUUUCCUGUCCAUUAUGAGAGAGAUGACACAAGUGAUACUAUUUCACUAUUUCUGUAUAUUUGAUACUAUGAAUUUGCAAAACUACAUACUUGUAUAUUUUAUGCCUAAUCUGGUCUUUCCUGUUUCGUAUUUUUUCAGAAGGAUAUCCAGAAGUUACUUGCUGCGUAACCAAAAUCCGAGCCACGCUGGCUUCCUCAACGAGUUGAAGUUGAUGACAAACAAUGAACAUAAUUAUUUUGUAAAUCAUUUGGUGUCUUCACUAAAUUAUUAUCAGUAUACUACAGAGAAGUGAAAAAAAUGUUCUUUGCUUUAUAGCUCAAAAGGGAAAGAGUUCCAUAAAUGGCCAGAAUUUUCAUUAAACUUCAGACCUUAAAUUUUUUAACAUUAUUUCACUUUCCUUCAACAUUUGAAUAUAACUUAGAAAUGUAAAAUUUGUCGAUGGUUUGAUUAAGUAUAUAAAAUUGUUGUACUUAACACUUUUCAGCAAGAAACAAAUGCAGUAUUUAAUAGCAUAAUCUCGAUAUUGAUUUUUUUAAGCCGGACAGGAAAUAGCUCCAUCCCCAGUUAUAGCAAUGGACCACAUAGUGCCUACAAGUCAACAAGUUACAUACUCUCUAUCUUAUUAUAAGUGUCGAGUCAAAAAAAAGUGUAUUACUAUCUUUAAAAAAAAAAAAGUGUUGAGUCAAAAACAUCUUAUUAUGAUUGUUUUGCUUAAAAUAUUUUGUAUUGAACUGAUUAUCACUUUAAAUUAUAGAUAUUCUAUUUAGAGUAAUGUUAUUUCGAUACAAAAUUUUUAUUUUUAUUUAACGGUGACUAAUAAUUUGUAAGACUUUUCGAUCUACCAACCAUUUAGUUAAAAGUUGGGCAAACCAUUGGUACUUGAAUGCGUUAAAAUUGUAAAUACAUCUCUAGUAUCUCUUUUGUUAGUAAUUUUUUAAAUUAAAUUGAUUAACGAAAAAUACAUUUGAGGGACAAAUUAACUACUAAAAAUAGAUUUUAGGUUUUCUUAUAAAAAAUAUAGAUUUGAGGAUGAAAAUAAUUAAUGAAAGAGACUUUUAUGAACCAAAUUAAGGGUUUGGUAAAAAAAAUAGCGGAUAACUGAUAAACUAGCUUAUAGCGGUUAGCUUAUAAGCUAACUUUUAGCUUAUGACGAAUAAACUAGCUGAUUGAAUUUGUAGUGUUCGAUAAUAUUAGCAGUUGAACUAGCUUAUAAGUAUGAAAUCACAAAAAAAAAUAUGUUUAAUUAAUAUUUAAUUUUUUUCAAGUAGGACGAUAUGGGUAAAAUUAGGAAAAAAUAUGAUAAGCUAUAAGUUAUAAACUCUUAAGCUACUUAAAAUAACAUUUACAAAAUAAGUUAUAAGCUCAUUUUUAAAAAUGUUACCGAACAAAACUUUUCACUUAUAAGCUAACUUAUUGCUCUUGCCACAUAGCUAACUCAUGUGACAGUGAGAUAUGCUUCUAGAAACCGUGUUGUUUGCCCUUAAAAUUUGAGGCCAUAAAGAACAAGUUGCAAAACUUUGAAUAGAAAACCUACACUCCCUCCCAAAUUCAACGAUCUCUUCUUAAGUGUUCAAGUCAAACCAAAUCUUCCAAUUUCAUCUCAUCACCUCCAUCUCCAGAUCCAUUUCCUCUCAAUCCAAAAAAAACAUGACCAAACACAAAACAUAAACCAAACAUCAAACUCAACCAUGUCAACUCAACAAGAUUCACCUACCCCAACAACAACAAAGAAAACCAAAAAUCCAUUCUUAUCAAUCAUAACAGAACCAAUAGAAUGGCUAUCAAUGCUAUCACAUCACCUAAACCCAUCAUUCAUAGCAGGAAUAUUCCUUAUAUAUGGUAUAGGACAAGGUUUCACAGGUUCACUCUUCAAACUAGUCUCAGAUUAUUACUGGAAAGACAUACAAAAAAUUCAACCUUCAACGGUUCAGCUUUAUGUUGGAAUAUAUUUCAUUCCAUGGAUUCUAAAACCCAUCUGGGGUAUUCUAACAGAUGCUUUUCCGAUAUUGGGUUAUCGGCGCAGGCCUUAUUUUGUAAUUGCUGGAGUUAUUGGAAUGGUGUCUGCCUCUAUUGUGGCCCUGGGAGGAAACAUUGCGGCUGCGGCGGCUUUGAUGUGUUUUCUUGGUGUGUCUGCUAGUCUUGCUAUUGCUGAUGUUACUAUUGAUGCUUGUAUUGCAAGGAAUAGUAUUGAGGUUCCUGGUUUGGCUCCUGAUUUGCAGACUUUGUGUGGGUUUUGUUCUAGUUCUGGUGCUCUUAUUGGGUUUCUUGUUAGUGGUUUCUUUGUUCAUCAUCUUGGUCCACAGGUAUGGGUGUGUUUUUUUUGUUUAAUGAAGAAAUGAAUAAACAAUGGAAGUUUCAAGAUUUGUUUUUUUCUUUCUGUUUUUGACCUGUUUUGUAGUAUGUUGUAUUUAUUGUGAUUAUAAAUUUAUAAGAAUUGUCAUUAUCAACACUUUGGUCAAUUUGGUCCUUUGCAUUUGGCAUAUUGAUAAUGUGGGAACUAGGUUGGUAUACCCUGUGAAAUAGAAUCUAAUUCAAAUGAUAGAUACGUGGCGUGGGAUGGGUAGGUUAACUGGUUGAACUAAGUGUUAAAGGAAUCAGAGGUCUAGGGUUCAAGUCCUGGUGUAAAAAACUAACAUAACAAUUAACAUACUAACAAUUUGCCAUUAAAAAAAAAAAAGAUAGAUAUGUCUGAGAUGUAAUUUAUUUAUGUCCUAGAUACCUUAUACUUUAAUGACUAAUAAUGAAUAGAAUGUUUCUGUUGUUAUUUUAGGGGUCACUUGGUCUUAUGGCAAUAUUUCCUGCUUUAACAAUUGUUCUUGGUUUUGUGAUCUAUGAUAAGAAAAUCACUGGCUUGCAUAAUGAAAAGAAGCAGGUUAGGAAACUUUCUACCUAUUUUCCAUAUCAUAAGCCUAUUUGCACAAAGUGAAAAUGUUCUGUGAUAAGUUUUGUUUUCUUCUCUUAAUGCUAAAUUGGAUGACUAAAUACAUUUUGUAGGGGGCAAUGGAGAGUGUAGGAAAGACAAUAAGAAGCAUGUACAAAACAAUAAAGUAUCCUCAAGCAUGGAAGCCUUCUCUUUACAUGUUGCUUUCGCUUUCUCUUAAUGUUACCACUCAUGAAGGCCAUUUUUACUGGUAUACUGAUGCAAAAGCCGGUCCUGCAUUCUCUCAGGUAUGUACCUCUCACAUUUCUAUAACAAAAGAUAAAAUAAAUUCAAUUUAUUUUCAUAUAAGCUAUAAGUUAAUUAUUUUCAUAAGUUAUGCUGUAGAGCUUAUAGAAUUAAGGUGAAAAGAACUUAUGAACAUGUCAGAUAAAUAGAUUCUUCGCCAUUAGUUGUCAUUGCAGUUAAGAUCUCAGCUGUUGAUAAAUAUCAGGGACCGAUUUACCGAACUUAUUUUAUAUUCAAUUGCGUAGAUUAGCUAAGUGCAGUGACUAAUGGAAUUUCCCACUGCAGGCAAUCUCAGUCUCAUAUUUUGUUUGCAGAUGAUUAGCGACUGUUUGGAUAGAAUUAUGAGCUUAUUUAUUGGCAUAAGCACUUGUCGACACUGUUUGAGAGAGUUUAUAGAAACAACUUAUGGCAUGUCCAUAAGCUGUUAUAAGCUUAUAUCGUUAACAUCUCCGAUAUAGCUUAUGAAAAUAAUUUGACUUUAGUUUAUCUUUUGUAGUAGAAAUAGUUUAUACACAAACACUUAUAUCAUAAGAGUUUAUGCUACAAGCGCUUAAUUAAAUUGUUUGUCCACACAGAACCUAAACAAAUGACAGUUUUUCCAAAACCAUUCCUUUAUCUUAUAGAGUUUCUUUGCAUAUGCAGGAGUUUGUUGGAGUAAUCUAUGCAAUUGGUGCAGUGGCUUCAAUAAUAGGAGUUCUAAUUUACCACAAGUAUCUAAAAAGCUACACAUUUAGAAACUUAAUAUUCUAUGCACAACUCUUAUAUGCAACAUCAGGUGUAUUAGACUUAUUCUUCGUCCUACGUUGGAAUUUGAAAAUUGGAAUCCCUGACUCCUUUUUUGUUGUCAUUGAAGAAACUGCAUUAAGAAUCACAGGCAAAUUAAGGUGGAUGCCAAUGAUGGUCCUUAGCACAAAACUAUGUCCUAUAGGAAUUGAAGGAACAUUUUUUGCUCUAUUAAUGUGUAUUGAUAGCAUUGGUGUCCUUAUAUCCAAAUGGGGUGGAGGGUUACUACUUCGUUUCGUUCAUGUUACUAGAACUGAUUUUAGUAAACUAUGGUUGGCUGUUCUUAUUAGGGACAUUCUUAGAUUUGUUACACUUGUUUUGGUUUUUCUUGUCCCUAAUGUAGGACCUUAUGAAGGGUUGCUUCCUUCUGAGGUUUGUGAAAUGAAUAAGAGUGAUGUAAAUGUUGAUGAAGAAACCUUGGAGCUUGUUCCUAUGAAUGGGAAUAUUAAAGUUUAGAGUAAUUUUGUUAUGUUACACAGUUAACCACUACAUGGAGUUCUCUAUGAUGAUGAACAAUAAAGAACUUGAAUUUCCAAAAUAAUAUCACAUGUCCAUAAAAGUUGUUUAUCUAAAAAUAAUAUUAGAACACCAAAACAACAUUACAGUACAAAAAAUAAAAACAACUUGAAGUUCCGUUAACUAUAAUUAGGGAAGAAAACUGGCGCCUAAAAAUGUCAACAGAUGUGGAGUCAGAUAGAAUUAGUUGCUUACCAGAUGAUAUAGUAGAUCAGAUUCUGUUUCACUUGCCAAUUACCGACGUAUUGAGAACAACAUUACAUCCGGUCCUUCCACUCCUUAGAAAUUUAUUCACUAUGUUUAGAUCUUUGAUAAAAGUCUCACUCCAAGACUUGUCUUACAAUCUUCUAAAACAUAAACCACACCACUUUCUUAUACAACACUCUUAACACCAACAACUUUGAUGUUUAAGAAAUAAUACAACAAGAAUAGAAUAAGUUUAUGUAUAAUUCACUUCUUGCAAAUUCAAAGUGAUAUGAGAAUUUGAUCUUCCUUUACUAAAACUCACACAAAAUUAUGAGUUACACAUACACAUUGUAAGGUCUUAAAUUCAAACCUAAAUAAAAACAUCCAACUUAACAAAAUCUAUAUUGUCAACCAUAAAACUUGUGAAUUCUUCCUCCUAUUUUUUAUCUCCAUCAACUACAUACAUUUUAAAAAUACACAAUACGUCAUUAAUUACUAAUUUACUAUAUACAUAAAAUAUAAAAUUAUUUUGCACAUACAAUUAAUAAUAUGUUGUCACGUAAAUUAAUUAAUUAAAAUACAUAACAAGUCAUAUGAUUUCAAAUUCAUUACUUCAUUAAUAAAAGUAUUACACAUACUUAAUUUUUAUUUUUUUAUAAGAACUUAAUUAAAUUGUAUUAUUAUUAUUAUCUUUAAUUUAAUUUUAGAAAAAUUAGGAGAGAAAAAUAAAAGGGAGAAUAAGUUUGAGCAAAAAGUCGAAAUUGCCACUAUAGAAGGUCUACGAGUCUUUUGUCUUGCUUGAUACUACGAGUGAAGAAGUGGCCACAACAAACAAGAGAUUCAUAGCGUCUUUCUGAGUUUUGAUUAUUCUUCUUCUUCUUUUGUUAUGGUAAGAGAUUUCGUUCACCGAUUCCAAUUUCGUUUAUUUCCUCUCUCAAAUUAGGUCUAUCUUCUUCUUCUUCUUCUUCAUUCAAGCUAAUAAUCUAAUUUUACAGGCUAAUAAUCGCCACACGAUUAUUCUAAUUCAAACUUCUCAGAAUAGAGCAACUAGAACAUUCAAGGAUUUUGACUCAGUAACUCAAGCUAUGGACGGUAAUUAAUAAUCGAUAAUACUACUACUUUACUUGUUUUUGAUUUCACUGUACUCAUGAUUUAGGUUUUGCUUAUUUUUCUGUUUUUAUGUGCAAUUUCAUCAAUAAAAUAGCUGCAGUUUUUCUUUUUUAAUUUUAUUGAUUAGCUAUAAAGCACCGACUUAGAUACUGAACACAACACUGACACUUAGACACUAGCAAUAAUCUGAGGGAAUGAAAGUGAUCGAAUAUAACCAGAUGGUUUGAUGUCGGACACUGACACAUGUUAGACACAAGACAUGGCUUCAAUCUGAUGCAACAUAGUAACAUAUAUGUAACAUAGCUGAUGAGUGCUCUUUUUGGGGGUAGAGUCCCGUGUGUGUGUGUAUGUAACAUAUGAAUUUAAUUAGGUUUCACACAACUGUCAAUGGAUUGUUAGGAUUUGGAUGGACGGUGAUUUCAUUAUGAAACCUAAUCAAAUUCAUAUGUUAGUCUUUAGGUUUGCUAUUGCAUUCAUGAACAAGUAAUUCACCGAAUAAAUGCGGGGGGAAAAAGUAUCUGAUGAAUUAAUAUUGAUCUGCUAAAGAAUUUUAUGCAUGAUUUUUUUGUCGUUUUUGUUUCUGUCGUCUUGCUUCCUUUCUACCCAAGCACUUGAUCAUUUUCCAUUAGAUUUUCUUUCUCUAUUUCCCUUUGAGCAUUUUCCUUGUAAUAUUUUGGUUUUAACUGUGACUUUGGGAUAGUGAAUUUUGACAUAGGAAGAAUGAAUGGUGUAGUUGAUCAAAGGUGCAUUAGCAUCAAGAAUAUAUGACUUUCAUUAAUUUGGGCAUAAUGUAGGGUGCCUAGAAAAAUUGGAAUAGGUUUAUGACAACGCAAAUAAGAAGAACAAUUAUGGAAAGCCUCGAGAACUGUAGUUGUGUUAUAGUUAGAGGUGGAGGAAAGCCUCGAGAAACUGUGGGUUAAACUGUCAAAAAUGGUUUUUUAAGCUGUUUUCUUUAGACAUGAUUUAUGAUUGGGUGUUAAUAGUUUAGUUUGAUCUAUGUAGUUGACCCACCUAGUUAGAAAAUCCUUGUCGUUUUUCUUACUUUGAUAUUGAAAGUGUUCUUAAUUAUUGCAGAAGCUCAAAGCCUUGUUAUAUAUUUAUAAUGCUUUCUUUUUGGAUGGAUCGUAAAUGAUGAGAUUUAUUAAUUAUGGAAGCAGAUUGUUGUAUCCUUGACCGUGUAAUGCAAUAAAACCUUGGGUGUGAUUCCAAAGUUUCUUUUGUUUUUAUAUACCGUCUUAAUUUUAUACUCUGUCGAAACCUAUUUUUCCUUGGCAGACAACUAAAUUCAACACAUCAAAAGACUCAUUAAACCUUUUUAGAAACUUCUCUAAAACCCAUUAAACACGGGUACUAAUUCUGACAGGCAGCAACCUUACCAACCAUAUAACCCCCUCCAAUUGCCUUAACUCCCCCUUAACAUCACGUACAUAACAAAUGAACAAUCGAUCACCUGUUUUGAAUGCAAUCGUGAUUUGUGAUCAUUAAAACCCUAACCACUUUUAGUCAAAAACAAAAAAAAAAACCUAACCAAUUUGCUGCUUACAUCAAUAGUGUUUGUCUGUUAAAAUGAAACAGGAUAUUGUAUAUGAUGUAUAUUUUGCAUCUCUAGUCAAUCAUAAUUUUAGAUAUUUUUGCAAGGUGUUUUGGAUUUAUAUAUAGAAUAUACUUUGUCUUAUUCUUAUGAUAAAGUUGGAUUCUCAGUUGUCCUUGUUUAAAUUUUAUGAUGUUUUGCUGAAUGAGGUGAUUGAGUCUCAUCAUGUCCAUCAACUACCGUGCUUUGUGUAUUGGACAAUCCAUAAAUUGUGUUUUUUUGGUGAGUGAGUAAGGACUGUGGCAAUUUAUGACAGUCUAUAGGAAAGAUUGAACAUCAAACAUACUGUAUCGAUAUGUGGAUAAUUUGAUGAUUGAUCUUCUUAGUGACAUAGGACAGUACAUUUGAAUAAUAUCUUCUAGGUUAUUAGUUAACAAGGGAAAAUAGUGUGUCACUGCCACUGUGCUCCAUAAUGCGUCACAUAUGGAUUCAUCUUCCUGAUCCUGGAAUAUGCUAUACCGUUAUUCCAAUUUUGGGGCCGACUACUAAGUGCCUCUAUCCGGGAUUUGCAACCUAUAUAAUUCUCGUAUUAUAUUUUUUUAUGAUGAUUUGUAUGUAUUAAUUAUCAGCGUUAAAUAGUGGUUUUAAUCCUGUGCUUUUACAGGCAUAUGUGCAAUGUAUGAAAGGAAACUGAAGGAGUUGAAUCCGGCCAUCAGAAACCUCUCUUAUGAUAUUACGGAUCUCUACAACUUCAUAGAUGGUCUUGCAGACCUGAGUGCUCUAGUGUAUGUCUCUCUCUCUCUCUCUCUCUCUCUCUCUCUCUCAAAUCUAUGCAUAGGUCUUUAAUACAGUCAAAUAUAUAUGAUUUGUCAGUGUUUUAUGAUUUUCAAAAAAAGAAAAUAUUAUACUGUGAAAAGAGAAGAGAAAAAAUAGAUGGUAGAGAAAAAGUGAGGUGAAAGAGCAUGUACUGAUGAUUUGAGCUUUUCAUGGUUCAAGAAUAAGAUUUUUUUAUUCAGCAGUUGCUUGAUCAUAUCUUGUUGAAUUUGUAGUAGAUAUAUGAUCUGUCUGUAUAUUCUGAUUUUUUUUUUUAAAAGUAAAAUUUUAUUCAGUGAAAAGAAAAGAAGCAAAAAUAAAUUGUAGAGAAAAGGCAAGAGAAGAUAUACUGAUGAUUUGUGCGUUCCAUGAUUCAAAAAUAAGUUUUUUUAUUCAGUAAUUGCUUGCUUAUUUUUUCAAAGAGUUUGAUGCUGAACUAGAAAUAUAUGGCUCUGUUUGAACACUGCAAUCUAGAUCAAGGAAAAUAGAAAUUUAACUGUCUCUCUGUUGGUGAAACUAAUGUAGAUUGACAUUAUUUUUCUCCUUGAAUCAAAUGAAAAUUAAGAUUAUGGGUGAGAAAAUUGUUAGUAAUUAUGAGUCUGAAAGAGGUCUUAAACCCUUGAUAGAGUGAAGUGUUGGAGUAAAAGUGUCACUGGUUUGUAACUCCCUUUAUUUACUCCCUCUCUGCAUGCCCCUUUUUUUACCGAGUGUUAAAAGACUUAAUAAAUAAUCAUUUGCUGUAUCAUAUGUUUACCUUAUCAGUUCUGUGUCUCUUUUAUAUAUUGGGCUUUCUUUGUACAUGUUUGGUUUGCCUUGGCAUUGAUUAAGGACUGGCUGAUUGGUUUCUUACUUGCAGUUUUGAUAGUACAUCUCAUGCUUACUUCCCCUAUGAUCGAGAGUGGAUCAAGCAACAAACCUAUCAUCGUUUGAAGAAAUUGGCACAUUGACUGAUCCCCAAAGUUUUAGCAAUUAAAUGUAAAGAAAAUUACCAAGGGAAGAAGAAAUUGUCCGUUAUGUGGGCUAUACUCAGAUGGCUAUGUUGCUUGAUAUGAUGAUUAUUGCACAUACUGUCAGUGAAUUUUUAUAUAAUAUAUAUCAAUAGCUAGUACUACCAAAGUUUAAGAAACAAUGAUCAUGAGAUUCAUGGCAUGGCUUAGUUUAUCCUUGUCAAGUGUUCUAUGGCUAGCAGAUUUGGCCUUGUUAAAAAAAUCUUCAUCUUGUACUAAUAGUAAGUUGCACUGUUUAUUUACCUAAUCUAUGGCUAUUAUCUAUAACUAACAAGGUCGUGCAAAUGCUAGUUAUUAUCUAACAUGAUUAAUAUUUGAUGAAAUGGAGGUGGAUUGAGUAUAAUUGAGGUAGUAAUUGCAUGUAGAAAAUCAAGGUUUAAAAUAUGUCUCACCUUUGUCUUUCCUUACUUUCCUUAAAUUCCAUGUAUUGGUCAAACUACUAGGAUUCUAUGUUUCCCAACUCCUAAAAUACAGAGAAGUUACUUUUGCCACCCUACUAUUUUCCAAACAUUGUCUGCUACUUAAGCAGCGGAUGGCAUUUUCCCCUAAAAUUUCUCAUUUUAUAACAUCCGCUACUUAAGUAGCGGAUGAGUAAAAAUAAGGCGCGCGAGAAACACUUAGGACGGCAAAAGUAACUAAAAAAACAGGGCUUUUAUAUAGACCAAUUAAGUUUGAGACAAAUAGUUGGACUUUCCAUUUACAUCACUAUGACUUGUGUUGAGUUGAAAUUCUGAAUUCUGCUAUUGAUAAAAUUAUACAAAUUUUAUCAUUAAAAAAUUUAAUUGAUAUUCAUGAGUCUAACAUGUUUUCAUUAGCUCAUCCAUUCUUAAAAGUCAUUUAGUCUAACAUGUGUUGCUAGAUUCUAAGUCUAACGCAGUCAUGACACAAUUAUAUUUAUAUUAGAUUCUACAUCUCCAUGAAUAUCAAUUACGUAUUCUGCUUAUAGUAAUAGCAACUUGCAUGCCAUGAGGUGGCUACACACCAACUACCCUUUUAUUUGUUUAUUUUAUUUAUAAAAAGGUUGAUAUUACAGCACAUAUUUAACAACCAACAUAAUUGUUUAUAGAAUAGUAAGUACUAGUAAUGAAAUAUUUGGAAUAAAAUUUGACCCAAUAAUACCAUGAUGUGUUUUAAAUUGAAAUAUACUAGUAUAUCCCUUUUUUUUUUUGCUAUAAUAUAUGUUCUUAUUUAAUCACGUUUGUUUAGAAAAACUUUGCCGUUAAUUUUAGUUAUGCGCUCUUGACUUUUAUUAUACAAUUACAUUUUGCAUUUUUUCCAAAAGAUAUUCUAAUCAACUAUCAAAUGAUUAAAUAUUGGAGGGGGAGUUUCCUCGAGUUAUCCAUGGUUAGAAGCCACACUUGAAACUUGAAAUGUGGCACUAAAUUGGAAAUUAUUAUAAAACAUAAAUUAGUUGGAGAAAAUGGUGAUAAAGUGGCACAAUAUUGGAAUGGAGUGCUAAGACCAUUAUUCUACUGCCUCUCCUCUCUUAUCAUCUCUCAAUUUUCUCUCUUUUCUAUUCUCUUUCCACUCAUAUUUUUCCAGCUAAUAUUAAUAUAGUAUGAUUCAAGUUGGAACAUUUUGGUACUCCUUUAUUUUAGCCUUUAUCAUUAGCCAAAACAAAAUCAUUUCGUGUACACCACUGUAGUACCGAAUUUUAUUCUUUUCUAUAUAUAAUCAACCAUGAAGAAUUCAUACAUUAUAAAAAUAUACAAUGUCUCCGAAUUCCACAUUUAAAUGUGUGAGAGUCUAGUCACUAAACUACUUGACAAAAAAAUAUAUAUACUAUCUUCAUUUUCUUUUCUCCUAAACAAAAUAAUACUGCACAACAAAAAGAGAGUAAAUGUGGAAAAACAAGCAAAAUAUGUUCCAUCUAUGCCUUUCUUCGCAUAUCAUAUCACAAGAGAAAGGGAAAAGGGUGCGUUUUCUAGCCUUUCUUCUUUCUUUCUCUGCUCCUCCAAACUCUCUCUUCUCAAACUCUUUCGCCCCUAUUUCUCUUGAAACAAACAUAGGCUAAGUCUACUAUAUCGAAUGAACUUUAAAUCCAACUCACUGAACUUUUUAUUAGAAAAAUAAAUACAUAAAACAAUCUAGGAAUUUUUUUUUCUACCCCAACAAUUUUCACUCUACCUCAACAAUUGGAAUUGAAAUGACAAAUAUGCCCUCGUAUAUAAUGUGAAACUGUAAAUAAAAAAUCAUUCUUUACCCCACUCAAAGAAAGUGUACCGGUGUGAGUUUGCCGAAAUAAAGAAAGUAAGUGUAAUUUUACAUACCGAUACACUUUUUUGAAGUGUGCUGGUUUGAUUUAUUUACCAAUACACUUUUUUCAAGUUUGCCGGUAUGAAUAUUCACAUCGGUACACUUUUAUGUGAGUUUACCGGUAUGCAUAUUCAUACUGGUACACUUUCAUAUGAGUGUACCGGUACAAAUGAGUAUUUUGAAAAAUAUAUUGGGAUAGAGUGAAACGUGUCGAGGUAGAAUUUUUAUUUUUCCAAUACUAGUACCAUCAAGUUGUCAUCCAUUAUCCAUGAUGGGCACACAAAACUCCAAAACAAAAUGAAGUUAUCAUAUCUAUUACUAAUAUAUUAAAAUCGAUUACCACUAAAACUAUUAAUUUAUUAUUAUUACUUUUAACAACAUUGCAAGUUUUAUAUCUUUCAUUGUAAUUUUAUUAAAAAUAUAAGAUAAAUACAAAAAAAAUGCUUAAAAAUAAAAACAAAACAGAUUAUUGAUUGGAACAAAAUUUCACUGAAAAAAAUAUAUAGAAAGAAUAUAAGAUAAAUACAAAAAAAUAUAUAUAUUAGAAAGAAUACAAGAUAAAUACAAAAAAAAAAUUAAAAAUAGAAACAAAACAGAUUAUAGAUUGGAACAAAACAGAAAGCCAACAAAAUUUACUAAAUUACCCUAGAUAUUCUUAAUCAAAUUUCUAUUUUUUUUUAUUAUAGUAAAAAAUAUACACGAGACCAUUAUUUAUCAUUGAUACAUCGAAAAUUGGAUAAAUAUUUGUCAUUGAUAAUUUAGUCAUUUAAUAAGUUUUACAAUAAAUUACACAAUAGUUUUGCUUAUAUUUAAACAAUAUUAUAUAACAAAUUUUUAAAUAUUUUAUUAUAAAUAAUUUUUUACCUUAAUAUAACGACAAAUUUAAAUAUCGAUUAAGAAUCAUUAGACCCGUGCGAAUGCACAAGUUGUAAAAAAAAACUCUUCCGCACAUAGUAAUAGAAUCUAAUAAUACUACCCACCCCAUUUUACUGUAUAUUUUUGGAUAAAAAAACGUUAUUCAAA